RNAcentral lists this transfer RNA (64 nucleotides) under Asychis amphiglyptus. RNAcentral's name for it is "tRNA-Thr". Lineage: Eukaryota; Metazoa; Annelida; Polychaeta; Maldanidae. The record is from RNAcentral.
GUUAAGAAAGCCAAAAAGAGGCGUUGGUCUUGUAAACCAAAAAAUGAUUAUCAAUCUUUUAACU